RNAcentral lists this long non-coding RNA (561 nucleotides) under Homo sapiens (human). RNAcentral's name for it is "non-protein coding lnc-DDX41-1:2". Lineage: Eukaryota; Metazoa; Chordata; Mammalia; Primates; Hominidae. The record is from RNAcentral.
AGACGCGCGUGCCCAGCUGAACCAGGUGCGUGAGAAGGCUGCCUUCAGGUGGCCGGGGGCUCCCUCCAGCUGUCUCUAGACGGAGGGACGGGAAGUGGCCAGAAGGGGAAGUGUGAGGAGUUCCCGUCCAGCCUGUCAUCAGUCUCCCCAGGUCUUGAAGCGGCGGCCCUGCUCCUGGCCGUGACCAUGGACCCUCUGGAGACCCCUAUCAAGGAUGGCAUCCUCUACCAGCAGCAUGUCAAGUUUGGCAAGGUGGGGACCCCUGGCUGCCAGGCAGCUGCCAAGGACCAACAGUGGGUGGAGAAUGCAGCCUCUGCCCCUGCCUCGGACAGCCCAGGCAGACCUGGGAGACUUGGGAAGGGAGUCAGGGUGGAGGAUCCCACCCAGGUAUGGGGAGUGGAAUGGAGUGCGGGUGUCAGCCUGAGACGGCAGGGGCUGAGCAGGCUCUGCCAGACCCUGCCUCCGGGAGAGAUGGGAAAUACAGGAGUGGGAGAGGGUCGAAGGCUCAAACCUCCCAGCAGGGAAGAGCUUCACAGCCUCUGACCCAUGAAAUAGUGCCAC